This 502-nucleotide ribosomal RNA is filed under the name uncultured bacterium. Its description in RNAcentral is "partial 16S ribosomal RNA". It matches the Rfam family "Bacterial small subunit ribosomal RNA", at positions 28 to 523 of the family's 1533-position model. The record is from RNAcentral.
GAUGAACGCUAGCGGCAGGCCUAACACACGCAAGUCGAGGGGCAGCACAGAAACAGCAAUGUUUUGGUGGCGACCGGCGGACGGGUGCGUAACGCGUAUGCAACCUACCUUUAACAGGGGGAUAACGGAGAGAAAUUUCCACUAAUACCCCAUAACAUCGAUCAAGGCAUCUUGAUUGGUUGAAAACUCCGGUGGUUAAAGAUGGGCAUGCGUUGCACUAGGUAGUUGGUGAGGUAAUGGCUCACCAAGCCUACGAUACAUAGGGGGACUGAGAGGUUAGCCCCCCACACUGGUACUGAGACACGGACCAGACUCCUACGGGAGGCAGCAGUGAGGAAUAUUGGUCAAUGGGGGCAACCCUGAACCAGCCAUGCCGCGUGCAGGAAGACGGCUCUAUGAGUUGUAAACUGCUUUUAAACAGGGAUAAAGCACAGUAUGUAUACUGUGUUGAAGGUACUGUAAGAAUAAGGAUCGGCUAACUCCGUGCCAGCCGCCGCAGUAA